This 844-nucleotide ribosomal RNA is filed under the name Pseudomonas sp. RNAcentral's name for it is "bacterial SSU rRNA". It matches the Rfam family "Bacterial small subunit ribosomal RNA", at positions 1 to 853 of the family's 1533-position model. The record is from RNAcentral. Lineage: Bacteria; Pseudomonadati; Pseudomonadota; Gammaproteobacteria; Pseudomonadales; Pseudomonadaceae.
UGGCUGUCUGCAUGAUUGAACGCUGGCGGCAGGCCUAACACAUGCAAGUCGAGCGGUAGAGAGAAGCUUGCUUCUCUUGAGAGCGGCGGACGGGUGAGUAAUGCCUAGGAAUCUGCCUGGUAGUGGGGGAUAACGUUCGGAAACGGACGCUAAUACCGCAUACGUCCUACGGGAGAAAGCAGGGGACCUUCGGGCCUUGCGCUAUCAGAUGAGCCUAGGUCGGAUUAGCUGUCUGUGGUGAGGUAAUGGCUCACCAAGGCGACGAUCCGUAACUGGUCUGAGAGGAUGAUCAGUCACACUGGAACUGAGACACGGUCCAGACUCCUACGGGAGGCAGCAGUGGGGAAUAUUGGACAAUGGGCGAAAGCCUGAUCCAGCCAUGCCGCGUGUGUGAAGAAGGUCUUCGGAUUGUAAAGCACUUUAAGUUGGGAGGAAGGGUACUUACCUAAUACGUGAGUAUUUUGACGUUACCGACAGAAUAAGCACCGGCUAACUCUGUGCCAGCAGCCGCGGUAAAAGAGGGUGCAAGCGUUAAUCGGAAUUACUGGGCGUAAAGCGCGCGUAGGUGGUUCGUUAAGUUGAAUGUGAAAUCCCCGGGCUCAACCUGGGAACUGCAUCCAAAACUGGCGAGCUAGAGUAUGGUAGAGGGUGGUGGAAUUUCCUGUGUAGCGGUGAAAUGCGUAGAUAUAGGAAGGAACACCAGUGGCGAAGGCGACCACCUGGACUGAUACUGACACUGAGGUGCGAAAGCGUGGGGAGCAAACAGGAUUAGAUACCCUGGUAGUCCACGCCGUAAACGAUGUCAACUAGCCGUUGGGAGCCUUGAGCUCUUAGUGGCGCAGCU